Molecule: non-coding RNA, 568 nt
Organism: Oryctolagus cuniculus (rabbit)
Lineage: Eukaryota; Metazoa; Chordata; Mammalia; Lagomorpha; Leporidae
Source: RefSeq, a predicted model, not a curated record
AACAAUAAAAUACAAAUUCAACACAUAUAUCCAAUUUCUCAACCCCUCAGCUACUCAUUCAGUGAGACAGGAUUUACUAUGGGUAUCAAGACAUAGGCCCAGUCCUUGAAAAAUCUAAGCAUAUACACAAAGAGCAGAUUCUACCCCAUGUUCAGCUAGAGGUAGACAUGGGAAAAUACAACAGGAAAGUAUAAACCACUAUUUCUGCCACUGAAGUCAAUACAAUUGAAGAAAAGGCAGAAAAAAGAAUCCUCAAUUCAGUCUUGCAAGGUCAGGAAAUACUGCUUGAUUUCUGGCCGAGAGUUAGAAUUGGGUACAAAAUAAGGACAGAAAGCCAUCCGAGGUGUGAGGUAGAUAGCUCAUCUGACUUCUUCACCACUGGGCCAAGAGUUUAGCUCCUAAUUCUUUUUUCCUAGGUUCUAAAGGCAAGAGAGUUGGCUGAAGCGAAUGUCAAGACAGCCUCAAAACCUCUCCUUUACGUAGCUUCAGAUAAGUAAGGGGAAGCUUGUAUUACAUAGGUACUAGGUAUCCCACUCUCUCCCAGAUAAGAAAUAUCGUCAAGAAUAUA